GUUUAGACGGAGCUGCUCAACCCCCACCACUGUUUCCGUAUACCGUCAUCUGCAUAAACAUGAGUAAUUUAUGAAUAAUAAAUGCCCUUGCAUUCAGCGGGAGCCCUUCAUUUGCAUAUCACCGCAGCUACAGUUUUAUUUCCUUAGUGAGGCGUUAUCAUGGAGUCCUUCAAGCCCGCGUAAACCAGAAUCAAAGAAAGUAUGCUUUAACAGAAAGAGACCCAAUAGGGCCCAGCAGGUGAAUGUAAAGAAACGCAAGAGGACUCCCCUCUGAUCAACCUUUUCAAACCCGGACAAUGGGACAGCCCACCUCUUGUACAGCUGCAUUAAAACCCUGAUUAAAGUUCUUCCUGUUAGCGAUUGAUUGAGGAUGCAGAGCCAAAACCAACAAAAACCUGCACUGCUGAGGCCCGAUAAAGACGAGGCCCCACCUACAAAGCACAGGCUUCAAAUGAUUAGUGGGGUUUUGUUUUCUUAGUCGGUGUGUGAGUGUGUGUUUGUAAAUUACACACUGUGUGUGUGUGCGUGUGUGUCUGCGUGUGUGCGUUAGAGAGAUGUGAGGGAGAAGACGUCGACAAAUAGCUCUAAUUAAUCAAUGGACUCCCUCAAAAAAGAAGAAAACUUUUUUUUCUAUAUUUCUUGCUUUAGAAUGAGGUUGUGUGUCUUAACGUUCAUGGGUAAAUCCAUGUUUUUGACUGUAAAAUAAAAAAAUAAAACGAUAUACAUGGAUGAAAAAA
Pungitius pungitius (ninespine stickleback) is the source of this 737-nucleotide long non-coding RNA. RefSeq lists it as uncharacterized. The record is from RefSeq and is a predicted model, not a curated record. NCBI's taxonomy places the organism in Eukaryota, Metazoa, Chordata, Actinopteri, Perciformes, Gasterosteidae. The transcript has 2 exons.